This 483-nucleotide ribosomal RNA is filed under the name uncultured bacterium. RNAcentral describes it as "bacterial SSU rRNA". It matches the Rfam family "Bacterial small subunit ribosomal RNA", at positions 28 to 507 of the family's 1533-position model. The record is from RNAcentral.
GACGAACGCUGGCGGCGUGCCUAACACAUGCAAGUCGAGCGGAGAUGAUGUGAGGAAGUUUUCGGAUGGAAUCACAUUAUUUUAGCGGCGGACGGGUGAGUAACGCGUGAGCGACCAACCUUGCACAGGGGGAUAACGGACCGAAAGGUUCACUAAUACCGCAUGAGACCACGGUGUUGCAUGACACAGGGGUCAAAGGAGAGAUCCGGUGCAAGACGGGCUCGCGUCCGAUUAGGUAGUUGGUGGGGUAACGGCCUACCAAGCCUAUGAUCGGUAGCCGACCUGAGAGGGUGAUCGGCCACAUUGGAACUGGGAUACGGUCCAAACUCCUACGGGAGGCAGCAGUGGGGAAUAUUGGGCAAUGGGGGAAACCCUGACCCAGCAACGCCGCGUGAAGGAAGAAGGUUUUCGGAUCGUAAACCUCUGUUGUACGGGAAGAAGGACUUGACGGUACCGUACGAGGAAGCCCCGGCAAACUACGUG